AAGACCAUAGUCAAUAAAAUGAUAUAUGAGUUGCAUUCAUAAGGUGUUAAUCUUUAACUGGUUUUA
Molecule: transfer RNA, 66 nt
Filed under: Xenophthalmus pinnotheroides
Lineage: Eukaryota; Metazoa; Arthropoda; Malacostraca; Decapoda; Xenophthalmidae
Description: tRNA-Ala
Source: RNAcentral